Molecule: non-coding RNA, 106 nt
Organism: Pimephales promelas (fathead minnow)
Lineage: Eukaryota; Metazoa; Chordata; Actinopteri; Cypriniformes; Leuciscidae
Source: RefSeq, a predicted model, not a curated record
GGCGACUAUCUUCUUUGACUCAAAACUGAGCUGACGACGAGGGAGGUUUGCUUGUAACGUUAACAGGAAAAACACAGAAAUAAAAACAAAUAACUGCAGACCAACA